CUUGGCCCGUGGAUCACCAGCGUUUGGUCUCUCUUUCUCUACAGUGUCCUGCCAAAGCCCAACCCCAGCAGAUGGUGCCCACGGCUGAUCCCGAUGGUGACCCUACCUUCCCAGCCUUCCCACUUCACCCCAAGCCAUCCUGAAGCAGCCAAAAAGACCUCAUCACCAGACUCCUAAAAACAAAAGGCUGGAGUAAAGGGUCAGCCUGUCCCCUGAACC
RNAcentral lists this long non-coding RNA (219 nucleotides) under Cavia porcellus (domestic guinea pig). Its description in RNAcentral is "lncRNA (ENSCPOG00000035024.1)". Lineage: Eukaryota; Metazoa; Chordata; Mammalia; Rodentia; Caviidae. The record is from RNAcentral.